CUUACAAACGUUUGGAAGAAUUUUACUCACCGAAACUACUAGAAACCGCAGAAAAAUACCGUUUUUACUUACGAAAGCAAGUGGACGGAAAGGCAGUACAAACCUUUGUUGAGGCUAGUCAGCAUACGGGCACAAGCACGUUUAUUAGAAAUGGAAGAUUUAGAUUUCGAGAAAAUACAAAUUGCCACGUUAAUAAAAUUGUCGGAAAAAGACGCCACGCAACUACAAUCGGGAAUUGCUAUCGCGGUCUUCACUACGACACACAGAUCCACGAGACCGCCAAAUAAGCAGUACCGUUCGGUGACUAAUAUUGUUUGUUUCAGAUGUGGCACAAACCAUUUAACGACAAAUUGUACUCUCGAUCGCAAUGUACGAUGUAAAAAUUGCGGAAUUACGAGUCAUGAGAGAGAGAGAGAGAGUUACGAGAUGUGGCAUGCCGCGCGGUUGGUGUCACGUGAAAACGAGACUUGAAAUAAAAAAAAAUGAUGUUGACCCGUA
Long non-coding RNA from Megalopta genalis, 498 nucleotides. RefSeq lists it as uncharacterized. The record is from RefSeq and is a predicted model, not a curated record. Lineage: Eukaryota; Metazoa; Arthropoda; Insecta; Hymenoptera; Halictidae.